This 2456-nucleotide long non-coding RNA is filed under the name Ananas comosus (pineapple). RNAcentral's name for it is "long non-coding RNA (ACOM_LNC023566)". Lineage: Eukaryota; Viridiplantae; Streptophyta; Magnoliopsida; Poales; Bromeliaceae. The record is from RNAcentral.
UUUGAUGAAUAAUUAGACUAUUGUGGUUCAGUUUGGUUUGAUUCGAAUAUGAUUUCAUCUUGAGAUUCUAAAUAAAGUGUUCUGGGAAUAUCAUGAAUUUAUAGAAAUGGUUAUCUAUUCCUCGUGGUAGCUUACUUUUAAAAAAAAAAAAAAAGGUUUUCGUCUGGAAAAUAAUUUUUAUUUUAUUUUUUGGUUUUUUGUAAUUCUAGUGUUUUAAAAUAAGUUUUCAGGUGGGAAAUGAUUUCAAAUGAUAGAUGUACUUGUAUGUGCUGUGAAAUGAAUGGGCUUUUGUAAUCUAUUUGUAUACCGUGCAUUGUCGUUGUGAGUGGAUGUUUUGGUUGCGACUUGUACUAUAUAUGACGCCAUGCAAAUAAAGGAGAGACUCUAUCCGUAUGGAUAGUGGGGUCCUGCAUUUGUGGCGGGUUUGUCAUCCCUUGAGUCAAGGUUUCAAAAAAAAACUAGGCAUUUUUCGCUGAUCAGUUGGCUUUAAAUUUUGGCCAUUUUUUCAAAUUGCUUUAUAAAAAAGAAUCCCGGAGUAUGAUAGUCUUAUAAUUUGUAAAUAGUAUUAUUGUACUUUUCUAUUUAAUAAUAAUUUUUUAUAGUAAAAUAAAAAUAUAACUAACAAUAAGUAUAUAUUUUAAAUUACAGGGUGAUAAAGUCAUAUUCCGUUAAACCAUAGGGGCAAAUUGAUGUUUAUCCAUCUUACAAAUUAAAAAAAUUUUGCCCAUACACUUAUCUUUGGGAUAUAAAUUAUAUAACCCAUGGAUGUGAUUUAGUCUAGAUGGUAAAAAAUUCAUACCAUAGAUGAAAUGUAUGAUAUGCACCUUUUUCUGGGUUUCAUGAAUAGCUUUGCUCUUUACAAAUUUGUUGGUAGAUAAGAUAUAAAUAUAAAAUCAUAUAUAUAUAGUUUUUAUUAUGAAUAAAUUUUAAAUACCACUUACGUGGUUUCGUACUUUUUUAUUUUAUUACUCCGCACUUUAAAUUGUAUCAAUUUAGUACCCCGUGGUUUUAUUUUUUUGCUUUUUAUUAUUUUCUCCACUAAUUUUUUUCGUUAAAUCAGUAAUACAGUCAAAACUAAAAGGUACUAAAAUGAAUAUUCGUUAAACCUAGGUGGAAUAUUUGAAGUUUUUUGCAUGUAAUUUAACGAAAUAUUAACGGGAGAGCUAACGAAAAGAAAAAAUGAAACCAAAAAGUACUAAUUGAUACACUUUAAAUUAUAAGGUACUAAAGUAAGAAAAUACAAAACCACAUGAUGAUAUUUGAAGUUUAUUCUUUUAUUAUUGAAGUAAUCAUAACUAUAGGUUGCUCAAUCAACAAAAUUGUGGUGCAAAUACAUAACACGCUGGCAAAGAUAGAGCCUCAAAACCUUUCUUUGUAUAAGAGUAUUGAAUAUUCUUUCUCAUUUUAUUAAGUUCUUGAACAUGUGGCAUACAAUGAAUUCAACAUGUUUUAAAGAAUGGAGAGAAAUAGUGCACCACGCCACCCAUGGACCCCCCAUAUGUAUCUUCAGCUGGUAUUUCUUUAAAAGGGUAAACUUCAAAUAUCCCCUAUAGUUUCACACUUUCUCACUUUAGUAUUCUAUAGUUUAAACUGUAUUAAGUUAGCCGGCCCUUGUGGUUUUACACUUUCUCACUUUAGUAUCUUAUGAUUUAAAGUAUAUCAAGUUAGCAUUCUGUGAUUUUAUUUUUCUCUUUUUAUUAUCCAUUUCACUAAUUUUUUUCUCUGUAAAGUUUUCCCUAUUUUAAAAUAGAGCAAUGUUUAAUAGGAUUGAUUAAAUAUGCGUUCUAUUUAAAAUAACUAAUGUGGGAGAUCGCCGUCCCGUUUUAAAAUUAUGCGCAAGAUAUUUUACUAGAAGUAAGAAAAAGUGAGAAAUUUUUUUUUUUUUUUUUCAAUGAAUGACACAUCCAGUAGUAAUUCGAAUAGAAUAAUAUAUUUUUAAUUUUUUUAAAAAAUACAAAAAUAUAUUACAUGUUCCUUCUGUCAUUAUUACGAGAGAUAAUUGCCUACAUACCCCUCACAACUUCAAAAAUACCUUAUUAACCUUUAUUUUUUUAUUCUUUCUAAUAUAUCCCUCAAAUGCCCUUCGUUAUUUCAAAAUACUCUUGCAGUUAGUACUUGUUAAGUUAACUCGGAUUAAACAUGAGUUAAAUAUCUAUUAGAGUUAAUAAAAAAAUCAAAACUGCUGCUUUUGACUUAAGGAUAAAUAAAAAAUAUUGGUGACGAUAGAGAGGCAUAUUUGAAAAGAUCAAAAGUCAAAAAUAUUUUUUGUGCCCCUAACUUAAGGGCAAAUAAAAAUAGUCAGUGAUGGUAGAAAUGUACAUUUGAAAGGGCAAAACAAUAAUUUAAUAUAUUGUUAACCGUUCAUUAACCGAAUUUAACUUUAGGGGUAUAUUUGAAAUAGAUUGGAACGUAAAAAUAGUAUUUUUAAUUUGGAAAAUUUUCAUUACUACCUUUCC